GUUCUGCCCAUGCAGGGAAGGAUGAGAAACUUCGAUCAAGGUUCGAUUCGAGCGAUAGCGAGAAAGCGUUGCCGCAGGCAACGACCCGAAGGGCGAAGCGCAACGCGCUGAGUCAUCCUUUCCGCCACCACCA
RNAcentral lists this small RNA (133 nucleotides) under Klebsiella ornithinolytica. Its description in RNAcentral is "Raoultella ornithinolytica RtT RNA". It matches the Rfam family "RtT RNA". Rfam says of the family: This family represents a bacterial cis-regulatory element known as RtT RNA. The exact function of RtT is unknown although it is thought that it may be involved in changing the cellular response in relation to amino acid starvation. Lineage: Bacteria; Pseudomonadati; Pseudomonadota; Gammaproteobacteria; Enterobacterales; Enterobacteriaceae. The record is from RNAcentral.